UACAGAGGGGGCAAGCGUUGUUCGGAAUUACUGGGCGUAAAGGGCGCGUAGGCGGCCUGUUAAGUCGAACGUGAAAUCCCCGGGCUCAACCCGGGAACUGCGUCCGAUACUGGCAGGCUUGAAUCCGGGAGAGGGAUGCGGAAUUCCCGGUGUAGCAGUGAAAUGCGUAGAUAUCAAGUGGAACACCAGUGGCGAAGGCGAGUCUCUGGACAUUUCCUGACGCUGAGGCACGAAAGCCAGGGGAGCAAACGGG
RNAcentral lists this ribosomal RNA (253 nucleotides) under uncultured bacterium. Its description in RNAcentral is "partial 16S ribosomal RNA". It matches the Rfam family "Bacterial small subunit ribosomal RNA", at positions 524 to 776 of the family's 1533-position model. The record is from RNAcentral.